UCAGCCCCUUCAGCAUUAAAAUUUGGGGACAAUAUAAAAUUAUUUUAAAAAGCUAGCAUUAAAAACCACAAGGAAACACGAUAGAGAUUACAUUCACUAAAAUAGCAUUACAUAAAAAGUCAGAGACAAAAUGAAAAUCUCGUAAUUGACCAUUCAAGACUAAACCAUGAUUAGCCAGAAAUGCUACUUGAUUAAUUACCUUCUCUCAAGAUAUGUGACUAUAUGAAAACACCACCAUUGAGGCCAAACUCCUUAAUGCACUGCACAAUUUGGAAGCAAGGGUGAGAAGGCAGCUACAUCCAUUAUUCAACAGAUUAAUCGAAAUCGUAAAUCCAAUUCAACAAUAAAUUCCUUAAAGCCACGACUCCAUGCUACACGAAUGCCAUAUAAAAUGGCCCACAAUUCCACAGCCAAAACUGAGCAUCUCCGAUAUCUGCAGCAUAGGAAAAAAGCACAGCUCCACUGUGAUUUCGAAGGGCACCUCCACUAUGAUUCCUUAAAGCCACGAUCUCAAGUAUAUUUCAUAACCCGUCUUUUUUUUUGGUAGAGAUU
RNAcentral lists this long non-coding RNA (552 nucleotides) under Glycine max (soybean). RNAcentral describes it as "long non-coding RNA (GMAX_LNC000668)". The record is from RNAcentral. Lineage: Eukaryota; Viridiplantae; Streptophyta; Magnoliopsida; Fabales; Fabaceae.